Molecule: long non-coding RNA, 400 nt
Filed under: Physcomitrium patens
Lineage: Eukaryota; Viridiplantae; Streptophyta; Bryopsida; Funariales; Funariaceae
Description: long non-coding RNA (PPAT_LNC006136)
Source: RNAcentral
AGAAAUAUAAGGCUAGUUUUGGUAGGAUUUGUUUGGACUUUUAUAAUUGUUGUUCAAAAUCAAGAUUUAUAUUGGUAACUUGGGAUUUAUGCAAUGUAAUUAGGACUAACACUCUUACGUAGUUUGUAAAAUUGGUAUCACAUCUACAGUUCAAAUUUUGAAAGUUCUUAGUUAAUUAGGUGUACUAAGUGUAUGUAUAAUUUUGUGAUAAUCCAAUAGUGCAAUUGAGAGAUAUCUAGGUUUUGGUACAAGAACAUAUCGGAAGUUGGCAGUUUGGAGUUAGAUAGAGUUUCUAUAAUAUCUAAAGAUCUAGUAGUUGGAUGAAGGUGAAAUUUGGCAUGGUAUUGGAGAACUUAAAGAUCAAGCUACACACCAAUUUUGAGUUGAGGUUAAUAGUUGA